GCUCUAAGUGAUUUUCAAUUAUGAAAGGCGACAGCCGAAGGAGGAGAUUGGGAGGAACUACAAUAGCUGCGGAAAUUUCAGGAACUGUGUAUAAAGUUUUACCUGGGGGAAUGUAAAAAAUGUCUUGCAUAAAAAGUUUUUAAUUGCCAUGUGCUCUUGGCCGAAAAAAGUACGUGGCGAAGAGGGAAGUUUGCUGUAGUAAUUAGUUGGGCCUGCUUGAAGCUGCAAAUUAAGCCAUAAUUAUGCACAGCCAGCGACACUUUCAAGGAGUUGACUAAGCCAUCAAGAGGCUCAGUACAAACUGGUACUACCCCUCAACCGAACAGCAUCCGAAACCACAGGCAUCGCAAAGUCUAACCGCAACAAUUGGCUAACAAGUUGUCGCUGGUCAACAGUUCAUACAACAUCAACACAAAAAAGGAUACAAAAUAUUUGCUUAAAACAUAAAGUUGGUCCUCGCAGAGGAAUUGAGCUGAAACGUUUGGAACGCUGGAAUGGUUUGAGUGAAAUGCAACAGUGGCAACCGACUGGAACACUCGCAGGAUAAUUUCCCUCUGGCAAAAGGACUCGGCAAUGAGGAACAAGAUGGAAAGGCGGCGACAAUUGCAGCUGCCUUUUCAUUCUUGGAUUCCUGCAGUUCUGUAUUCUGGUCAUAGACCGUUUUCCACCAUUGUUACGCCAGAUUGCUGAUGAUGGCGAUGGAGAGGGGGUGAAGGACAAGGACAUGACUGAUAAGCGUGGCAGCGACACUGUCAAAGGUUGUGAUUGAUGCACACAGGUUGUAGCUGCUGUCAGGACAGUGGACAUUAAGUGCGAAUCACAAUCAACCGCAAUUGAUAUGGGAUCCAAAAAGGACAAUAAAUGCAAACAGGUUAAU
Non-coding RNA from Drosophila melanogaster (fruit fly), 877 nucleotides. Lineage: Eukaryota; Metazoa; Arthropoda; Insecta; Diptera; Drosophilidae. The record is from Ensembl.